RNAcentral lists this ribosomal RNA (314 nucleotides) under Legionella pneumophila subsp. pneumophila. Its description in RNAcentral is "bacterial SSU rRNA". It matches the Rfam family "Bacterial small subunit ribosomal RNA", at positions 287 to 593 of the family's 1533-position model. Lineage: Bacteria; Pseudomonadati; Pseudomonadota; Gammaproteobacteria; Legionellales; Legionellaceae. The record is from RNAcentral.
UUAGUCUGAGAGGAUGACCAGCCACACUGGAACUGAUACACGGUCCAGACUCCUACGGGAGGCAGCAGUUGGGAAUAUUGGACAAUGGGGGCAACCCUGAUCCAGCAAUGCCGCGUGUGUGAAGAAGGCCUGAGGGUUGUAAAGCACUUUCAGUGGGGAGGAGGGUUGAUAGGUUAAGAGCUGAUUAACUGGACGUUACCCACAGAAGAAGCACCGGCUAACUCCGUGCCAGCAGCCGCGGUAAUACGGAGGGUGCGAGCGUUAAUCGGAAUUACUGGGCGUAAAGGGUGCGUAGGUGGUUGAUUAUANUUAUC